UAUGGUGAAUCUUCGUCAUGAGAACGUGCUGCUCCUGCUGGGGGUCACUGAGAACCUCGAGUGGGACUACGUGUACGGGCCGGCUCUGGUGACAGGAUUCAUGGAGAACGGCUCCCUCUCAGGGCUGCUGCAACCUUCAUGCCCUCGGCCCUGGCCUCUCCUCUGUCGCCUGCUAGAGGAAGUGGUGCUGGGGAUGUGCUACCUACACAGCUUGAACCCUUCGCUACUGCACCGGGACCUCAAGCCCUCCAAUGUUCUGCUGGAUCCAGAGCUCCACGCCAAGUUUUGGGGUCCUCGUGUGGACAGUGCUGGCUGGAAGAGAAGCUGAGGGUAAGACUCUAAAUGGACUCUUAGCUCAGGUGCCCGAAAGCAUCUAAAACCCCUAGAGCCCUCCCUCCCUGACCUACUAAGACUGCCCUCUUCCCACCUCGCCUCUUGCCUGGAUGGCUCUCCCUUCUUCUGUCCGUGAUAGAAUGGGGUGUCUCCUCAUUUCAUGAAUUCUUUUGUUACCCCCGACUCCAGUGGUAGACAAGACCUCACUAAUUCGUGGAGCAGUGUGUAACAGGCAGAGGCGACCUCCAUUGACAGAGCUGCCUCCGGACAGCCCUGAGACUCCUGGCUUAGAAGGACUGAAGGAGUUAAUGACGCAUUGCUGGAGUUCUGAGCCUAAAGACAGGCCAUCCUUCCAAGACUGUGAAUCAAAAACCAAUAAUGUUUACAUCCUGGUACAGGACAAGGUAGAUGCUGCU
This 749-nucleotide long non-coding RNA is filed under the name Rattus norvegicus (Norway rat). Its description in RNAcentral is "long non-coding RNA NONRATT010912". The record is from RNAcentral. Lineage: Eukaryota; Metazoa; Chordata; Mammalia; Rodentia; Muridae.